This 525-nucleotide ribosomal RNA is filed under the name uncultured bacterium. Its description in RNAcentral is "bacterial SSU rRNA". It matches the Rfam family "Bacterial small subunit ribosomal RNA", at positions 355 to 896 of the family's 1533-position model. The record is from RNAcentral.
UGGGGAAUAUUGGACAAUGGGGGCAACCCUGAUCCAGCAAUUCUGUGUGCACGAAGAAGGUCUUCGGAUUGUAAAGUGCUUUCAGCAGGGAAGAAGAAAGUGACGGUACCUGCAGAAGAAGCGACGGCUAAAUACGUGCCAGCAGCCGCGGUAAUACGUAUGUCGCAAGCGUUAUCCGGAAUUAUUGGGCAUAAAGGGCAUCUAGGCGGCCCUGUAAGUCUAGGGUGAAAACCUGCGGCUCAACCGCAGGCCUGCCCCGGAAACUACAGGGCUAGAGUAUCGGAGAGGUGGACGGAACUGCACGAGUAGAGGUGAAAUUCGUAGAUAUGUGCAGGAAUGCCGAUGAUGAAGAUAGUUCACUGGACGGUAACUGACGCUGAAGUGCGAAAGCUAGGGGAGCAAACAGGAUUAGAUACCCUGGUAGUCCUAGCUGUAAACGAUGAUUACUGGGUGUGGGCAUGAAGAGUGUCCGUGCCGAAGCAAAUGCGAUAAGUAAUCCGCCUGGGGAGUACGGCCGCAAGGCUG